This 745-nucleotide ribosomal RNA is filed under the name uncultured bacterium. RNAcentral's name for it is "bacterial SSU rRNA". It matches the Rfam family "Bacterial small subunit ribosomal RNA", at positions 8 to 796 of the family's 1533-position model. The record is from RNAcentral.
AGAGUUUGAUCAUGGCUCAGAGCGAACGCUGGCGGCAGGCUUAACACAUGCAAGUCGAGCGCCUGUAGCAAUACAGGAGCGGCAGACGGGAGAGUAACACGUGGGAACAUACCCUUUGGUUCGGAAUAACUCAGGGAAACUUGAGCUAAUACCGGAUACGCCCUUACGGGGAAAGAUUUAUUGCCGAAGGAUUGGCCCGCGUCCGAUUAGCUAGUUGGUGAGGUAACGGCUCACCAAGGCGACGAUCGGUAGCUGGUCUGAGAGGAUGAUCAGCCUCAUUGGGACUGAGACACGGCCCAAACUCCUACGGGAGGCAGCAGUGGGGAAUAUUGGACAAUGGGCGCAAGCCUGAUCCAGCCAUGCCGCGUGGGUGAUGAAGGCCUUAGGGUUGUAAAGCCCUUUCGGCGGGGAAGAUAAUGACGGUACCCGCAGAAGAAGCCCCGGCUAACUUCGUGCCAGCAGCCGCGGUAAUACGAAGGGGGCUAGCGUUGCUCGGAAUCACUGGGCGUAAAGCGCACGUAGGCGGACUCUUAAGUCGGUGGUGAAAUCCUGGAGCUCAACUCCAGAACUGCCUUCGAUACUGGGAGUCUUCGAGUUCGGGAGAGGUGAGUGGAACUGCGAGUGUAGAGGUGAAAUUCGUAGAUAUUCGCAAGAACACCAGUGGCGAAGGCGGCUCACUGGCCCGAUACUGACGCUGAGGUGCGAAAGCGUGGGGAGCAAACAGGAUUAGAUACCCUAGUAGUCC